GACGAACGCUGGCGGCGUGCUUAACACAUGCAAGUCGAACGAAGUGGCGAACGGGUGAGUAACGCGUAAUCAACCUGCCCUUCAGGGGGGGACAACAGUUGGAAACGACUUCUAAUACCGCAUACUGAAGGAGGGGAUUGCGUGUGAUUAGCUAGUUGGAGGGGUAACGGCCCAGCAAGGCGAUGAUCAGUAGGCGGUCUGAGAGGGUGAACGGGCACAUUGGGACUGAGACACUGACCAGACUCCUACGGGAGGCAGCAGUAGGGAAUCUUCCGCAAUGGACGAAAGUCGGACGGAGCAAAGCCGCGUGAGUGAUGACGGCCUUCGGGUUCUAAAGCUCUGUUAAUCGGGACGCGGUACCGGAAGAGAAAGCCACGGCUAACUACGUGCCAGCAGCCGCGGUAAUUC
Molecule: ribosomal RNA, 408 nt
Filed under: uncultured bacterium
Lineage: Bacteria
Description: partial 16S ribosomal RNA
Rfam family: Bacterial small subunit ribosomal RNA
Source: RNAcentral